This 212-nucleotide unclassified non-coding RNA is filed under the name Glomus sp. Its description in RNAcentral is "partial contains 5.8S ribosomal RNA and internal transcribed spacer 2". The stretch from base 1 to 65 matches the Rfam family "5.8S ribosomal RNA", at positions 84 to 154 of the family's 154-position model. Lineage: Eukaryota; Fungi; Glomeromycota; Glomeromycetes; Glomerales; Glomeraceae. The record is from RNAcentral.
GUGAAUCAUCGAAUUUUUGAACGCAAAUUGCACUCUCUUCGGAGAGUAUGCCUGUUUGAGGGUCAGCCUAAAAAAAUCGACAUAGUCGCUGUUUCGCGGUGACACUCGUCGGAAAUUGGGUCAUCUUAAACCUUUUGGUUUAAAGCGGCUUAAAUUUUCCUUUACGAUUCAACGAACGUUUCUAAGUUUUACUUACCCGUUUAGGUUAUCGA